RNAcentral lists this ribosomal RNA (495 nucleotides) under uncultured bacterium. Its description in RNAcentral is "partial 16S ribosomal RNA". It matches the Rfam family "Bacterial small subunit ribosomal RNA", at positions 28 to 507 of the family's 1533-position model. The record is from RNAcentral.
GACGAACGCUGGCGGCGUGCCUAAUACAUGCAAGUAGAACGCUGAAGGAGGAGCUUGCUCUUCUGGAUGAGUUGCGAACGGGUGAGUAACGCGUAGGUAACCUGCCUGGUAGCGGGGGAUAACUAUUGGAAACGAUAGCUAAUACCGCAUAAGAGUAGAUGUUGCAUGACAUUUGCUUAAAAGGUGCAAUUGCAUCACUACCAGAUGGUCCUGCGUUGUAUUAGCUAGUUGGUGGGGUAACGGCUCACCAAGGCGACGAUACAUAGCCGACCUGAGAGGGGGAUCGGCCACACUGGGACUGAGACACGGCCCAGACUCCUACGGGAGGGAGCAGGAGGGAAUCUUCGGCAAUGGACGGAAGUCUGAACGAGCAACGGCGCGGGAGUGAAGGAGGUUUUCGGAUCGUAAAGCUCUGUUGUAAGGGGAGAACGAGUGUGAGAGUGGAAAGUGCACACUGUGACGGUAUCUUAACAGAAAGGGACGGCUAACUACGUG